CUCCCGCUAUUGGAUGAGCCUAUGUCGGAUUAGCUAGUUGGUAAGGUAAUGGCUCACCAAGGCAACGAUCCGUAGCUGGUCUGAGAGGAUGAUCAGCCACAUCGGGACUGAGACACGGCCCGAACUCCUACGGGAGGCAGCAGUGGGGAAUAUUGGACAAUGGGGGCAACCCUGAUCCAGCCAUGCCGCGUGUGUGAAGAAGGCCCUCGGGUUGUAAAGCACUUUCAGCGAGGAAGAACGCCUAUCGGUUAAUACCCGUUAGGAAAGACAUCACUCGCAGAAGAAGCACCGGCUAACUCCGUGCCAGCAGCCGCGGUAAUACGGAGGGUGCAAGCGUUAAUCGGAAUUACUGGGCGUAAAGCGCGCGUAGGUGGCUUGAUAAGCCGGUUGUGAAAGCCCCGGGCUCAACCUGGGAACGGCAUCCGGAACUGUCAGGCUAGAGUGCAGGAGAGGAAGGUAGAAUUCCCGGUGUAGCGGUGAAAUGCGUAGAGAUCGGGAGGAAUACCAGUGGCGAAGGCGGCCUUCUGGACUGACACUGACACUGAGGUGCGAAAGCGUGGGUAGCAAACAGGAUUAGAUACCCUGGUAGUCCACGCCGUAAACGAUGUCGACCAGCCGUUGGGUGCCUAGAGCACUUUGUGGCGAAGUUAACGCGAUAAGUCGACCGCCUGGGGAGUACGGCCGCAAGGUUAAAACUCAAAUGAAUUGACGGGGGCCCGCACAAGCGGUGGAGCAUGUGGUUUAAUUCGAUGCAACGCGAAGAACCUUACCUACCCUUGACAUCUACAGAAGCCGGAAGAGAUUCUGGUGUGCCUUCGGGAACUGUAAGACAGGUGCUGCAUGGCUGUCGUCAGCUCGUGUUGUGAAAUGUUGGGUUAAGUCCCGUAACGAGCGCAACCCUUGUCCUUAUUUGCCAGCGAGUAAUGUCGGGAACUCUAAGGAGACUGCCGGUGACAAACCGGAGGAAGGUGGGGACGACGUCAAGUCAUCAUGGCCCUUACGGGUAGGGCUACACACGUGCUACAAUGGCCGGUACAAAGGGCUGCGAGCUCGCGAGAGUCAGCGAAUCCCUUAAAGCCGGUCUCAGUCCGGAUCGGAGUCUGCAACUCGACUCCGUGAAGUCGGAAUCGCUAGUAAUCGUGAAUCAGAAUGUCACGGUGAAUACGUUCCCGGGCCUUGUACACACCGCCCGUCACACCAUGGGAGUGGACUGCACCAGAAGUGGUUAGCCUAACG
Molecule: ribosomal RNA, 1236 nt
Filed under: uncultured bacterium
Lineage: Bacteria
Description: bacterial SSU rRNA
Rfam family: Bacterial small subunit ribosomal RNA
Source: RNAcentral